Molecule: non-coding RNA, 243 nt
Organism: Orientia tsutsugamushi
Lineage: Bacteria; Pseudomonadati; Pseudomonadota; Alphaproteobacteria; Rickettsiales; Rickettsiaceae
Source: Rfam
AAAGUCCAGUUAUGGAAGGAGAAGCUAGAUCCACCAUAUAGCGAGUCUUGUGCUGCUGAAGGUAACUACAGUAGUAAAGCGUAGACAGUGAAACAUUCGAGCCGAAACCAAAUGGUGAACGUGAUAGCCCUGAAAGUGAGAUGUAGUGGAAGCCGAUAUGUUCUAGCACAUAGUAGGCAAAAGAAGAUUGGAGGUCAAACUAGUAAAAAUCCAAAAAUUUUCAACCACCGGGGUCGCAGGCGU